CUGCCUCGUCUUCAAUCCGUCGUCUCUCUCGGUCUCGAAUCCGCCUUCUCUCUUAGUCUCUCUCGAAUAGUUAGGGUUUGCUGUCUCUCGGUCUCGAAUCUACCUUCUCUCUCAGUCUCUCUCGAAGUGCUUAAGAGAGAAUAAAAAUCUUGGGAAGGAUAAAUCACCAUCACACACUGGAGUUCGAAGACUGUCCAAGCACUAAUUUGCACGCAAAAUUGGUUGACUUGUGCACCACUUAGUUCUUGGGAGGUCAAGGAGCAUGUAGAACCCGUUGACAUCGAAGGUAACCCUCUUCCUUCAACUUCAGCAACUUAAGCAUAUGGACUCCCACCCUAUGCAUUGAAAACUCUCCUUAUGCAUUGCUGCAGGGCUGGAAACUUCUCCAACACCACUGUGCUGGACCAUGUAUUUAUGGGCUGGAGAGAUGGACCCUCGUGUUAUUUUCCGCAACAUUGUCCAGAGGCCGCGGCAUAAAGCUAC
Molecule: long non-coding RNA, 483 nt
Organism: Juglans regia (Persian walnut)
Lineage: Eukaryota; Viridiplantae; Streptophyta; Magnoliopsida; Fagales; Juglandaceae
Exons: 5
Source: RefSeq, a predicted model, not a curated record